AUGCCCAAAUAUCAAGGAGGCCUCGGCUUUAGGGACACUGAGUUAUCCAACCUAGCAAUGCUAGCAAAGCAAGGCUGGAGGCUUAUCCAAGAACCAAAUUCUUUAAGUGCGAAGAUUCUACGUGCAGUUUACUACCCGGACGGUGAUGUUCUCGCAGCUGAGCUGGGCGACCACCCAUCCCAAGUGUGGCGGGCGAUAUGUGCUGGAUUAUCGGUUCUAAAACAGGGCUUGAUAAGGAGGGUUGGAGAUGGUCAAUCGAUCAAAAUCUGGGAUGAUAAUUGGAUUUCGAGGGAAAAUUUGUUGAGAGCUCUUCACCCAAUGUCAGCUGACCCACCGGUGUAUGUGAGUGAAAUGAUUGAUGCAACGACAAAGGCUUGGGAUCACCAGAAAGUUCAUGAACAUCUGCAGCCUCCGGACGCUGAAUUGAUUCUGAAGAUUCCGUUGAGCACACGGAACAUAGCAGACAGCUGGGCAUGGCACUAUGAGCGGUCUGGUCUCUUCACUGUCCGCUCUGCGUACAGACUUUUGGUUGACACGAAGAGGAGGAGAGAAGAUUGGCUAGAGGGACGGCCUAAUACGUCUGAUGUGUCUACUACCCAGGGGCAAUGGAAGAAGCUUUGGAGAGUAAAAGUUCCUAGUGCGGUGAGACAUUUUGCUUGGCGCCUGGCCAAGAAUUCUGUACCUACAGAAUCUGUUCGACACCACCGCAAGAUGACUGAUGAAGCAUUAUGA
This 732-nucleotide ribosomal RNA is filed under the name Triticum aestivum (bread wheat). RNAcentral describes it as "partial small subunit ribosomal RNA". Lineage: Eukaryota; Viridiplantae; Streptophyta; Magnoliopsida; Poales; Poaceae. The record is from RNAcentral.